This 78-nucleotide transfer RNA is filed under the name Candidatus Micrarchaeum acidiphilum ARMAN-2. Its description in RNAcentral is "tRNA-Thr". It matches the Rfam family "tRNA". From Rfam's summary of the family: Transfer RNA (tRNA) molecules are approximately 80 nucleotides in length. Their secondary structure includes four short double-helical elements and three loops (D, anti-codon, and T loops). The record is from RNAcentral. Lineage: Archaea; Nanobdellati; Microcaldota; Candidatus Micrarchaeia; Candidatus Micrarchaeales; Candidatus Micrarchaeaceae.
GCCUCAGUAGCUCAGCAUGGUAGAGCGUCUGCAUGGUAGCACAGCAGAAGGCCGAGGGUUCAAAUCCCCCCUGAGGCU